This 674-nucleotide ribosomal RNA is filed under the name uncultured bacterium. Its description in RNAcentral is "bacterial SSU rRNA". It matches the Rfam family "Bacterial small subunit ribosomal RNA", at positions 94 to 803 of the family's 1533-position model. The record is from RNAcentral.
AGCGGCGGACGGGUGAGUAACGCGUGGGAAUAUGCCCUUCUCUAAGGAAUAGCCUCGGGAAACUGAGAGUAAUACCUUAUACGCCCUUCGGGGGAAAGAUUUAUCGGAGAAGGAUUAGCCCGCGUUAGAUUAGGUAGUUGGUGGGGUAAUGGCCUACCAAGCCUACGAUCUAUAGCUGGUUUGAGAGGAUGAUCAGCCACACUGGGACUGAGACACGGCCCAGACUCCUACGGGAGGCAGCAGUAGGGAAUCUUAGACAAUGGGGGAAACCCUGAUCUAGCCAUGCCGCGUGUGUGAUGAAGGCCUUAGGGUCGUAAAGCACUUUCGCCAGAGAUGAUAAUGACAGUAUCUGGUAAAGAAACCCCGGCUAACUCCGUGCCAGCAGCCGCGGUAAUACGGAGGGGGUUAGCGUUGUUCGGAAUUACUGGGCGUAAAGCGCACGUAGGCGGAUUAGUAAGUUAGAGGUGAAAUCCCAGGGCUCAACCCUGGAACUGCCUUUAAUACUGCUAGUCUUGAGUUCGAGAGAGGUAAGUGGAAUUCCGAGUGUAGAGGUGAAAUUCGUAGAUAUUCGGAGGAACACCAGUGGCGAAGGCGGCUUACUGGCUCGAUACUGACGCUGAGGUGCGAAAGUGUGGGGAGCAAACAGGAUUAGAUACCCUGCUAGUCCACACCGA